CAACUCUAUUCAGCCAUGCCGCGUGCAGGAAGACUACCCUAUGGGUUGUAAACUGCUUUUAUACAGAAAGAAAAUGACGGUACUGUACGAAUAAGGAUCGGCUAACUCCGUGCCAGCAGCCGCGGUAAUACGGAGGAUCCAAGCGUUAUCCGGAAUCAUUGGGUUUAAAGGGUCCGUAGGCGGUCUUUUAAGUCAGAGGUGAAAUCCUGCAGCUCAACUGUAGAAUUGCCUUUGAUACUGAAAGACUUGAGUUAUUGUGAAGUAGUUAGAAUGUGUGGUGUAGCGGUGAAAUGCAUAGAGAUCACACAGAAUACCGAUUGCGAAGGCAGAUUACUAACAAUAUACUGACGCUGAGGGACGAAAGCGUGGGUAGCGAACAGGAUUAGAUACCCUGGUAGUCCACGCCGUAAACGAUGGAUACUAGCUGUUCGACCAACAUUGGUUGGUUGAGUGGCUAAGCGAAAGUGAUAAGUAUCCACCU
This 481-nucleotide ribosomal RNA is filed under the name uncultured bacterium. Its description in RNAcentral is "bacterial SSU rRNA". It matches the Rfam family "Bacterial small subunit ribosomal RNA", at positions 379 to 874 of the family's 1533-position model. The record is from RNAcentral.